GGUAGUGGAAGGCCUGCCAACGGGGAAACCCUUAGGGGUUUCAACUGAGGAAAGUCCGGCCACCCUCGCUUCGGCGAACAAAAGACACACUCGAAAGGGUAGCUCUCUUGAACAGAAACGAUACCUCCGGGAUGAAACGGCGGGAGAGCAGUCACUGCUUCAAUGCAGUGCGGGUGCAACUCCAGAGAGAGGCUAAGGCGAAUGCAGGUUGCUCGGUUAUUUGAGAAUAUUUCCGGGGAAACAGAAGUCGGCUUACUCUCCACUGCC
Molecule: RNase P RNA, 267 nt
Filed under: archaeon
Lineage: Archaea
Description: RNase P RNA component
Rfam family: Archaeal RNase P
About the family: Ribonuclease P (RNase P) is a ubiquitous endoribonuclease, found in archaea, bacteria and eukarya as well as chloroplasts and mitochondria.
Source: RNAcentral